GAUGAACGCUGGCGGCGUGCCUAAUACAUGCAAGUCGAGCGAACAGACGAGGAUCUUGCUCCUCUGACGUUAGCGGCGGACGGGUGAGUAACACGUGGAUAACCUACCUAUAAGACUGGGAUAACUUCGGGAAACCGGAGCUAAUACCGGAUAAUAUAUUGAACCGCAUGGUUCAAUAGUGAAAGACGGUUUUGCUGUCACUUAUAGAUGGAUCCGCGCCGGAUUAGCUAGUUGGUAGGGUAACGGCUUACCAAGGCCACGAUGGGUAGCCGACCUGAGAGGGGGGUCGGCCACACUGGAACUGAGACACGGUCCAGACUCCUACGGGAGGCAGCAGACGGGAAUCUGCCGCAAUGGGCGAAAGCAUGACGGAGCAACGCCGAGUGAGUGACGAAGGUCUUCGGAUCGUAAAACUCUGUUAUUAGGGAAGAACAGAUGUGUAAGUAACUAUGCACGUCUUGACGGUACCUAAUCAGAAAGCCACGGCUAACUACGUG
Molecule: ribosomal RNA, 497 nt
Filed under: uncultured bacterium
Lineage: Bacteria
Description: partial 16S ribosomal RNA
Rfam family: Bacterial small subunit ribosomal RNA
Source: RNAcentral